AUGCCCAUUGGUGUUCCAAAAGUACCUUACCGGAUUCCUGGAGAUGAAGAAGCGACUUGGGUUGACUUAUACAAUGUUAUGUAUCGAGAAAGGACACUUUUUUUAGGUCAAGAGAUUCGUUGCGAGAUCACGAAUCAUAUUGCAGGUCUCAUGGUAUAUCUGAGUAUAGAAGAUGGAAUUAGUGAUAUUUUUUUGUUUAUAAACUCCCCAGGCGGGUGGCCAAUCUCAGGAAUGGCUAUUUUUGAUACGAUGCAAACGGUGACACCAGAUAUAUAUACAAUAUGCCUCGGAAUAGCCGCCUCCAUGGCGUCCUUCAUUCUGCUUGGAGGAGAACCCACCAAGCGUAUAGCAUUCCCUCACGCGAGGAUUAUGCUUCACCAACCUGCUAGUGCUUAUUAUCGGGCAAGGACACCAAAAUUUUUACUAGAAGUAGAAGAGUUACACAAAGUUCGCGAAAUGAUCACAAGGGUUUAUGCAGUAAGAACAGGCAAGCCUUUUUGGGUUGUAUCCGAAGACAUGGAAAGGGAUGUUUUUAUGUCAGCAGACGAAGCCAAAGCUUAUGGACUUGUCGAUAUUGUAGGGGAUGAAAUGAUUGACAAGCACUGCGAUACUGAUCCAGUGUGGUUUCCAGAAAUGUUUAAGGAUUGGUAG
This 651-nucleotide ribosomal RNA is filed under the name Triticum aestivum (bread wheat). Its description in RNAcentral is "partial small subunit ribosomal RNA". The record is from RNAcentral. Lineage: Eukaryota; Viridiplantae; Streptophyta; Magnoliopsida; Poales; Poaceae.